RNAcentral lists this ribosomal RNA (256 nucleotides) under uncultured bacterium. RNAcentral's name for it is "partial 16S ribosomal RNA". It matches the Rfam family "Bacterial small subunit ribosomal RNA", at positions 524 to 776 of the family's 1533-position model. The record is from RNAcentral.
UACGUAGGGGGCAAGCGUUGUCCGGAUUUAUUGGGCGUAAAGAGCGUGUAGGCGGCCAGACAGGUCAGCUGUGAAAACUCGAGGCUCAACCUCGAGACGUCGGUUGAAACCGUCUGGCUAGAGUCCGGAAAGAGGAGAGUGGAAUUCCCCGGUGUAGCGGUGAAAUGCGCAGAUAUCGGGGAAGAACACCCGUGGCGAAGGCGGCUCUCUGGGACGGUACUGACGCUGAGACGCGAAAGCGUGGGGAGCGAACAGG